CAGCCGCCGCGGUAACACGGAGGGUGCAAGCGUUAUCCGGAUUUAUUGGGUUUAAAGGGUCCGUAGGCGGAUCUGUAAGUCAGUGGUGAAAUCUCACAGCUUAACUGUGAAACUGCCAUUGAUACUGCAGGUCUUGAGUAAAUUUGAAGUGGCUGGAAUAAGUAGUGUAGCGGUGAAAUGCAUAGAUAUUACUUAGAACACCAAUUGCGAAGGCAGGUCACUAAGAUUUAACUGACGCUGAUGGACGAAAGCGUGGGGAGCGAACAGGAUUAGAUACCCGGGUAGUCCCUGUCUCUUAUAC
This 301-nucleotide ribosomal RNA is filed under the name uncultured bacterium. Its description in RNAcentral is "partial 16S ribosomal RNA". It matches the Rfam family "Bacterial small subunit ribosomal RNA", at positions 509 to 807 of the family's 1533-position model. The record is from RNAcentral.